RNAcentral lists this ribosomal RNA (567 nucleotides) under uncultured bacterium. Its description in RNAcentral is "bacterial SSU rRNA". It matches the Rfam family "Bacterial small subunit ribosomal RNA", at positions 337 to 917 of the family's 1533-position model. The record is from RNAcentral.
UCCUACGGGAGGCAGCAGUGGGGAAUUUUCCGCAAUGGGCGAAAGCCUGACGGAGCAAUACAGCGUGAGGGAAGACUGCCUAUGGGUUGUAAACCUCUUUUUUCAGGGAGGAAUCAAUGACGUGUACCUGAAGAAUAAGCAUCGGCUAACUCCGUGCCAGCAGCCGCGGUAAGACGGAGGAUGCAAGUGUUAUCCGGAAUCACUGGGCGUAAAGCGUCUGUAGGUGGUUUAAUAAGUCAACUGUUAAAUCUUGAGGCUCAACUUCAAAAUCGCAGUCGAAACUAUUAGACUAGAGUAUAGUAGAGGUAAAGGGAAUUUCCAGUGGAGCGGUGAAAUGCGUAGAUAUUGGAAAGAACACCGAUGGCGAAAGCACUUUACUGGGCUAUUACUAACACUCAGAGACGAAAGCUAGGGUAGCAAAUGGGAUUAGAUACCCCAGUAGUCCUAGCCGUAAACAAUGGAUACUAGAUGUUGAACAGAUCGACCUGUGCAGUAUCAAAGCUAACGCGUUAAGUAUCCCGCCUGGGAAGUAUGCUCGCAAGAGUGAAACUCAAAGGAAUUGACGGA